This 894-nucleotide ribosomal RNA is filed under the name uncultured bacterium. Its description in RNAcentral is "bacterial SSU rRNA". It matches the Rfam family "Bacterial small subunit ribosomal RNA", at positions 8 to 916 of the family's 1533-position model. The record is from RNAcentral.
AGAGUUUGAUCAUGGCUCAGGACGAACGCUGGCGGCGUGCUUAACACAUGCAAGUCGAGCGGAAAGGCCCUUCGGGGUACUCGAGCGGCGAACGGGUGAGUAACACGUGAGCAACCUGCCCUUGGCUUUGGGAUAACCCUCGGAAACGGGGGCUAAUACCGAAUAUCCAUCUUCGAUCGCAUGGUGGUUGGUGGAAAGUUUUUCGGCCAGGGAUGGGCUCGCGGCCUAUCAGCUUGUUGGUGGGGUGAUGGCCUACCAAGGCGACGACGGGUAGCCGGCCUGAGAGGGCGACCGGCCACACUGGGACUGAGACACGGCCCAGACUCCUACGGGAGGCAGCAGUGGGGAAUAUUGCACAAUGGGCGAAAGCCUGAUGCAGCGACGCCGCGUGAGGGAUGACGGCCUUCGGGUUGUAAACCUCUUUCAGCAGGGACGAAGCGAGAGUGACGGUACCUGCAGAAGAAGCGCCGGCCAACUACGUGCCAGCAGCCGCGGUAAGACGUAGGGCGCGAGCGUUGUCCGGAUUUAUUGGGCGUAAAGAGCUCGUAGGCGGCUUGUCGCGUCGACUGUGAAAACCCGUGGCUCAACCAUGUGGUCUGCAGUCGAUACGGGCAGGCUAGAAUUCGGUAGGGGAGACUGGAAUUCCUGGUGUAGCGGUGAAAUGCGCAGAUAUCAGGAGGAACACCGGUGGCGAAGGCGGGUCUCUGGGCCGAUAUUGACGCUGAGGAGCGAAAGCGUGGGGAGCGAACAGGAUUAGAUACCCUGGUAGUCCACGCUGUAAACGUUGGGCGCUAGGUGUGGGGGGCCUCUCCGGUUCUCUGUGCCGCAGCUAACGCAUUAAGCGCCCCGCCUGGGGAGUACGGCCGCAAGGCUAAAACUCAAAGGAAUUGACGG